This is a ribosomal RNA of 107 nucleotides. It matches the Rfam family "5.8S ribosomal RNA", at positions 51 to 154 of the family's 154-position model. Rfam says of the family: 5.8S ribosomal RNA (5.8S rRNA) is a component of the large subunit of the eukaryotic ribosome. It is transcribed by RNA polymerase I as part of the 45S precursor that also contains 18S and 28S rRNA.
UUAUGCGAUAAAAUGGUGUGAAUUGCAGAAUCCCGUGAACCAUCGAGUCUUUGAACGCAAGUUGCGCCCGAAGCCACUAGGCUGAGGGCACGUCUGCCUGGGUGUCA